UCACGAACAAGGCAAACCUAUCGAAAGGUAGGGACGCAAAGCUUCCGGCCUAAGAGCUGAAUAUAUACCUAUUUUUUAUUCAACUUAAGGUAGCGGGGUUGCCGAU
Molecule: non-coding RNA, 106 nt
Filed under: Photobacterium aquae
Lineage: Bacteria; Pseudomonadati; Pseudomonadota; Gammaproteobacteria; Vibrionales; Vibrionaceae
Description: c-di-GMP sequence
Rfam family: c-di-GMP-I riboswitch aptamer
About the family: GEMM was predicted in a large-scale screen for bacterial structured RNA regulatory elements. Genes associated with GEMM are involved in a diverse array of functions, including chemotaxis regulation, signal transduction, secretion and chitin.
Source: RNAcentral